RNAcentral lists this ribosomal RNA (446 nucleotides) under uncultured Actinomycetes bacterium. RNAcentral describes it as "bacterial SSU rRNA". It matches the Rfam family "Bacterial small subunit ribosomal RNA", at positions 335 to 793 of the family's 1533-position model. The record is from RNAcentral. Lineage: Bacteria; Bacillati; Actinomycetota; Actinomycetes.
ACUCCUACGGGAGGCAGCAGUGGGGAAUAUUGCACAAUGGGCGAAAGCCUGAUGCAGCGACGCCGCGUGAGGGAUGACGGCCUUCGGGUUGUAAACCUCUUUCAGUAGGGAAGAAGCGAAAGUGACGGUACCUGCAGAAGAAGCGCCGGCUAACUACGUGCCAGCAGCCGCGGUAAUACGUAGGGCGCAAGCGUUAUCCGGAAUUAUUGGGCGUAAAGAGCUCGUAGGCGGUUUGUCGCGUCUGCCGUGAAAGUCCGGGGCUCAACUCCGGAUCUGCGGUGGGUACGGGCAGACUAGAGUGAUGUAGGGGAGACUGGAAUUCCUGGUGUAGCGGUGAAAUGCGCAGAUAUCAGGAGGAACACCGAUGGCGAAGGCAGGUCUCUGGGCAUUAACUGACGCUGAGGAGCGAAAGCAUGGGGAGCGAACAGGAUUAGAUACCCUGGUAG